AACGAACGCUGGCGGCGUGUCUUAAGCAUGCAAGUCGAGCGGCAAGCGCAGCAAUGCGCCUAGAGCGGCGGACUGGUGAGUAACGCGUGGAUGAUCUACCUUGGGGUUGGGGAUAGCCAUUAGAAAUAGUGGGUAAUACCGAAUACGCUUCCAUGGCUACGGCCAUGGAAGGAAAGGCGCUACGGCGCCGACCUAAGAUGAGUCCGCGUCCCAUUAGCUAGUUGGUGAGGUAAUGGCCCACCAAGGCGAUGAUGGGUAGCCGGCCUGAGAGGGUGUACGGCCACACUGGGACUGAGAUACGGCCCAGACUCCUACGGGAGGCAGCAGCUAAGAAUAUUCCGCAAUGGACGAAAGUCUGACGGAGCGACGCCGCGUGGAUGACGAAGGCCGGAAGGUUGUAAAAUCCUUUUGUCGGGGAAGAAUAAGCGUGGGAGGGAAUGCCCGCGUGAUGACAUGAACCGGCGAAUAAGCCCCGGCUAACUACGUGCCAGCAGACCC
RNAcentral lists this ribosomal RNA (498 nucleotides) under uncultured bacterium. Its description in RNAcentral is "bacterial SSU rRNA". It matches the Rfam family "Bacterial small subunit ribosomal RNA", at positions 29 to 518 of the family's 1533-position model. The record is from RNAcentral.